CAAUAGCGUAUAUUAAAGCUGUUGCGGUUAAAAAGCUCGUAGUUGGAUUUCUGUCAAGGACAACUGGUCCGCCCUCCGGGUGAGCACAUAGUUUGAUCUUGACAUCUUGCUGGAAGCUGUUGCUGCACUUGGCUGUGUGGCGCAGUGUUCAGCACUUUCACUUUGAGGAAAUUGGAGUGUUUCAAGCAGGCACAUGCCUUUGGACACAGUAGCAUGGAAUAAUUAGAUUGGGCUUUUGCUCCAAUUUGUCGGUUUCUGGAGCUGAGGUGAGUAUUAAUGGGGAUUGUUGGGGGCAUCCGAAUUUAGCCGUCAGAGGUGAAAUUCUUGGAUCUGCUAAAGACGGACAACUGCGAAAGCGUUUGCCCAGGAUGUUUUCAUUGA
RNAcentral lists this ribosomal RNA (381 nucleotides) under uncultured eukaryote. RNAcentral describes it as "partial 18S ribosomal RNA". It matches the Rfam family "Eukaryotic small subunit ribosomal RNA", at positions 592 to 976 of the family's 1831-position model. The record is from RNAcentral.